RNAcentral lists this ribosomal RNA (466 nucleotides) under uncultured bacterium. Its description in RNAcentral is "partial 16S ribosomal RNA". It matches the Rfam family "Bacterial small subunit ribosomal RNA", at positions 28 to 507 of the family's 1533-position model. The record is from RNAcentral.
GAUGAACGCUGGCGGCGUGCUUAACACAUGCCAGUCGAACGGAAAGGCCCAAGCUUGCUUGGGUACUCGAGUGGCGAACGGGUGAGUAACACGUGGGUGAUCUGCCCUGCACUUCGGGAUAAGCCUGGGAAACUGGGUCUAAUACCGGAUAGGACCACAUUUUGGAUGGUGUGGUGGAAAGUUUUUCGGUGUGGGAUGAGCUCGCGGCCUAUCAGCUUGUUGGUGGGGUAAUGGCCUACCAAGGCGUCGACGGGUAGCCGGCCUGAGAGGGUGUACGGCCACAUUGGGACUGAGAUACGGCCCAGACUCCUACGGGAGGCAGCAGUGGGGAAGAUUGCACAAUGGGCGCAAGCCUGAUGCAGCGACGCCGCGUGGGGGAUGACGGCCUUCGGGUUGUAAACUCCUUUCGCUAGGGACGAAGCGUUAUGUGACGGUACCUGGAGAAGAAGCACCGGCUAACUACGUG